GCUUGCUUCGGCAGCGCAUAUACUAAAAAUUGGAACAAUACAAAAAAAAGAUUAGCAUGAACCCUGCACAAGGAUAACAUGCAAAUUCGUGAAGCGUUCCAUAUUAUU
Molecule: small nuclear RNA, 108 nt
Organism: Arvicanthis niloticus (Nile rat)
Lineage: Eukaryota; Metazoa; Chordata; Mammalia; Rodentia; Muridae
Source: RefSeq, a predicted model, not a curated record